AAGCGGUGGAUGAUGUGGAUUAAUUCGAUGCAACGCGAAAAACCUUACCUACCCUUGACAUGUCAGGAAUCCCGCAGAGAUGUAGGAGUGCUCGAAAGAGAACCUGAACACAGGUGCUGCAUGGCUGUCGUCAGCUCGUGUCGUGAGAUGUUGGGUUAAGUCCCGCAACGAGCGCAACCCUUGUCAUUAGUUGCUACGCAAGAGCACUCUAAUGAGACUGCCGGUGACAAACCGGAGGAAGGUGGGGAUGACGUCAAGUCCUCAUGGCCCUUAUGGGUAGGGCUUCACACGUCAUACAAUGGUACAUACAGAGGGCCGCCAACCCGCGAGGGGGAGCUAAUCCCAGAAAGUGUAUCGUAGUCCGGAUUGUAGUCUGCAACUCGACUACAUGAAGUUGGAAUCGCUAGUAAUCGCGGAUCAGCAUGUCGCGGUGAAUACGUUCCCGGGUCUUGUACACACCGCCCGUCACACCAUGGGAGCGGGUUUUACCAGAAGUAGGUAGCUUAACCGCAAGGAGGGCGCUUACCACGGUAGGAUUCGUGACUGGGGUGAAGUCGUAACAAGG
RNAcentral lists this ribosomal RNA (565 nucleotides) under uncultured beta proteobacterium. RNAcentral describes it as "bacterial SSU rRNA". It matches the Rfam family "Bacterial small subunit ribosomal RNA", at positions 927 to 1496 of the family's 1533-position model. The record is from RNAcentral. Lineage: Bacteria; Pseudomonadati; Pseudomonadota; Betaproteobacteria.